This 468-nucleotide ribosomal RNA is filed under the name uncultured bacterium. RNAcentral describes it as "partial 16S ribosomal RNA". It matches the Rfam family "Bacterial small subunit ribosomal RNA", at positions 28 to 507 of the family's 1533-position model. The record is from RNAcentral.
GACGAACGCUGGCGGCGUGCUUAACACAUGCAAGUCGAACGGAAAGGCCCUGCUUUUGUGGGGUGCUCGAGUGGCGAACGGGUGAGUAACACGUGAGUAACCUGCCCUUGACUUUGGUAUAACUUCAGGAAACUGGGGCUAAUACCGGAUAGGAGCUCCUGCUGCAUUGUGGGGGUUGGAAAGUUUCGGCGGUUGGGGAUGGACUCGCGGCUUAUCAGCUUGUUGGUGGGGUAGUGGCUUACCAAGGCUUUGACGGGUAGCCGGCCUGAGAGGGUGACCGGCCACAUUGGGACUGAGAUACGGCCCAGACUCCUACGGGAGGCAGCAGUGGGGAAUAUUGCACAAUGGGCGGAAGCCUGAUGCAGAAACGCCGCGUGCGGGAUGACGGCCUUCGGGUUGUAAACCGCUUUCGCCUGUGACGACGCGUGAGUGACGGUAAUGGGUAAAGAAGCACCGGCUAACUACGUG